GCGGGGGUUGCCGAGCCUGGUCAAAGGUGCAGGGCUUAGGACCCUGUCUCGUAGGAGUUCCCGUGUUCAAAUCACGGCCCCCGCA
This 85-nucleotide transfer RNA is filed under the name Candidatus Methanofastidiosia archaeon. Its description in RNAcentral is "tRNA-Leu". It matches the Rfam family "tRNA". From Rfam's summary of the family: Transfer RNA (tRNA) molecules are approximately 80 nucleotides in length. Lineage: Archaea; Methanobacteriati; Methanobacteriota; Candidatus Methanofastidiosia. RNAcentral also lists the same sequence under 1 other name. The record is from RNAcentral.